AGGAAGUAAUUUCAAAACAAACCUAUUUACUAUGGCGGCAUUCAAUCUUACUAGAGGAACUUGUUCCAUAAUCGACAACCCACGUUAAUUCUCACUUUAUUAUAAAAUUUAUAUACCGCCGUCUAAAGAAUUAAUUAUAUAACAAUAUUCUUAAUAAAAAUUAAAAAGUAAGGUCAAGGUGUAAUCCAUAUUAAAGAGAUAAUGAGUUACUUUAAAUAUAAUUUAAGGAUAAUAUAAUAAAACAAUAUUUAAAAAAGGAUUUAAUAUCAAUAUAUUAAUAAUAAUAAUAUAUGAAUAAGAUAAUAAAUGUGU
This 312-nucleotide ribosomal RNA is filed under the name Negayan paduana. RNAcentral describes it as "partial 12S ribosomal RNA". Lineage: Eukaryota; Metazoa; Arthropoda; Arachnida; Araneae; Anyphaenidae. The record is from RNAcentral.